GGGCCGGUAGUUAAACCUGGUAAAUGAUUAAGUAAAUCAUCCAGAUUAAUGCGCCCUUGGCUUGGGUGGCUAAAGCUCAUUAGGCUCCGGGUUCAAAUCCCGGCCGGUCCA
RNAcentral lists this transfer RNA (111 nucleotides) under Candidatus Woesearchaeota archaeon. Its description in RNAcentral is "tRNA-Phe". It matches the Rfam family "tRNA". From Rfam's summary of the family: Transfer RNA (tRNA) molecules are approximately 80 nucleotides in length. Their secondary structure includes four short double-helical elements and three loops (D, anti-codon, and T loops). The record is from RNAcentral. Lineage: Archaea; Nanobdellati; Candidatus Woesearchaeota.